Erpetoichthys calabaricus (reedfish) is the source of this 2196-nucleotide RNA transcript. It is a transcript of the gene named limb and neural patterns a, with no coding region annotated. The record is from RefSeq and is a predicted model, not a curated record. NCBI's taxonomy places the organism in Eukaryota, Metazoa, Chordata, Cladistia, Polypteriformes, Polypteridae. The transcript has 14 exons.
UCCACGUCAUUGCAAUCAGAUAAGUCAGCGCCCGAGAGAGGGAAACAAAACGCUGUUGUGAGCAGUGCAGGUAAAUUUCAGUGCGAAGGUUUUCAACAAAAUAAAGCCACAAUGGGGGCUACUCUUUCAAAGUGGAGAAGUAAACCUUCUACUGUGGAUGUUUUAGAAGGCAUUGACAAGGAAAUUAACAACCUUGAAGAAUUUAGAGAAAAAAACCAAAGACUAUUAAAGCUAUGGCUUGGAAGACUACUUCUUUAUUCAUCUCUCCUUUACCUUCUAACCUGCAUAGUGGUUUAUUUGUGGUAUUUUCCUGAGCAGUGGACAGGACGCCUAAUCAUGGCUCUGCCUUUUUUUGCAUUUCCUGUGUUAGUAUGGUUUGUUAGAAAAGUGAUGAUCUGGCUCUUCUCCAAAAGGACAGAGAGGAACAAUGAAAAACUAGAAGAUUUAAAGUCUCAAAAGAAGAAAAUACUUGAAGAAGUGAUGGAAAAGGAGACCUAUAAAACAGCCAAGUUAAUUUUAGAGAGAUUUGAUCCCGAUUCAAAGAAAAAGAAUGAACUGGAACAAAUCCCAGUAACGGGAGCAGCUUUAACUCCAAGGCCUGGCCAAGAACUUCGUCAACGUAAUACUUCCCAGAGGAACCCUGCUGCCUCAACUCCUGUGCCAGCAAAUCCCAGUCAUGGAGUUGCACUGCCUGUUGUUCCUGGGACCCCUUCCGGGCAGAUGACUACUUCUGCUCCAGGUGGGCCCCCAGAACGUCACCCUGCAUCAAUAGCUCAGCAAAACCUUAUGAGGCAGGCAAUGACACCUGGAACACCAAUGCCUGGAAUGGGCAGACAUCCACCUGGACCUCCACUUGCAAGACCAAUUCUCCCACGGGAAAGGGGAGCCAUGGAUAGAGUGAUAGAGUUCUUAGUAGGAGAUGGUCCUCAAAACAGGUAUGCACUUAUCUGUCAACAGUGUUUUUCUCAUAAUGGUAUGGCCUUGAAAGAGGAAUAUGAGUACAUUGCUUUUAGAUGUGCAUACUGCUUCUUUCUAAAUCCUGCACGGAAAAUGCGUCCUCAAGCACCUCGUUUACCUGACUUCAGCUUUGAAAAAAAAACCGUGGACAGAUUCUCAGGCUUCAGCUGCAUCUCCAUCGGAUUGCUUGACUGAGAAUCUGCAGUCUACAGCUAGGAAAGAAAAGGGGAUCAUUCCCCCCUGCCUUCAGAAAGGUGAAGCAUCGGUACCAUUAGCUACAGCUCCUUGGAGUAAAGUUCACAGUUUCACCUCAAACAGUGCUGAUCUCCAAGUAAAAGAGGAGACUGUAACUAAGACGGAGGAGACACAACCAGAGUCUGACCAAGAGCCAGAAAUCCCUGUGCUCCAAUGUGAAGAGCAGCAAGUAGAAGAGUCCCUUAGACAAGAAGAUGGGCAGCCCUCCAAAAAUGAAAAGGAAAAAGAUGACGAUGUAUCUCUCAUGGAAACGGAAUAAAACAAAACCAAGCAUAAAUGGAACGUUUUUGUUUUUUUGUUAGCAUCUAAACUCCUUGCUUUUUAAAAAAAAAAAAAAAAAAAAUUCACCGAAUUUUUUAACCUCCAUCUUUUUUUUUUUUUUUUUUUUUUUUUUUUUUUUGUUAAAAAAAAAAAAAGCAUGAGUUGUCUAAUUAAACCCUUUACUGUGGUCCUGAGUGCUUUUUGAAAAAUGCAGCAGUUGGAAGGUAUGGGUGUAUAUUCUCUGUCCUAGCACUUACUGAAGUAAUAUUCAGAAAAUGAAAUGGAUUUUUUUUCCAUUUGUUGCAAUUGGAAUGUCUUCUCUUAUUUUAUUAAUUUUUAUUUUCAUAUUUGAAGGAAUCAAAAAAUGUAAUCAGUGACGGUAAAACGUACUCGGCAGUUUUUACCUGGAAUAGAGACGACCAGUACGAUAACUUUUUGUCUUUAAUGUGUUUUUAAAGGAGUUUACACCGUAUGGUGUAAAAUGCUAUAAUUUAUGGAAUGUACAAUAUGUAUAGCUUAUUUAAUACUUCUGGCUAAUGGCUCUGGCCAAUUAAGUAUUAUAAGAAUAUCUUGUGCAAUCAUUUGUGCAGGAUCUGCCUUAUGUUUACAAGGUACGGGUAGCAAAGUAAUGGUUUCUUCAGAUUUUAUUUAUUAAGAUUUUGCAAGGUGUGUGCAUCUGUGUGGUUUUUAAGGAUUUCGGGUUAAAUAAAGCACAUAUUAUCU